This is a long non-coding RNA of Frieseomelitta varia, 3033 nucleotides long. RefSeq lists it as uncharacterized. The record is from RefSeq and is a predicted model, not a curated record. The transcript is spliced from 3 exons. Lineage: Eukaryota; Metazoa; Arthropoda; Insecta; Hymenoptera; Apidae.
AACACUUCUGGAAGCGUAGCAAAGGAGAUAUCUGCUCAGUUUACAACAAGAGUGCAAAAACUGUGCGAAGACAUUUUCUCAGGUUUAAAUUUGCAUCCUGGAACCGAUGGCGUUGUUCGAAUAUUGUCGAUCUAGACCAGAGAGUCCUUGUCCGUACUUUCUUGAUUUGAAGAUCUAUAAAUUAGAUUCUUGAUCUAAAGACUUAUAGAGUAUGUCUUUAAGCUUGCUUGUUUUUUGAUUAUUAUAGCUUAAAUAUGAAUGGUUCAUUAUGUUAAUUAUCAAAUUAUUGACUUGUUGAUUAGUUUUAAGAUUUUAUUUUGAACUUAUGGAAGAUUUUAAAUGAGGGAAGUUAGAUUUAUUUGGAGUAACCCCAUUGUUUCUCUUUAGGGUUGGUUUUCUUUCACUGGGUUGUUUUCCCCUAUCAAUUUGUAAUUUGUGGUUUUUCAGAAAUUUUUACUUUCAUAGGCCAUUAUUUCGUUGAUUUAUUUGUUGUGUGUAGUAUUUGUAUAUAGAAAUAAUGCUCAUAUUCUUGAGAAAAUGUAUAUGAUGGUAUUUCGCACCUAUAUUCUUUAGUUAUUUAAGGUCAUAGCUAGCACACAGUGUGACAGCAGUGUCUUGUGCUUUUGCUUUUGGUUGUGUGGCCGUAUCUAUAGCAGUUUUUGCAUGUAACGGAAUUGAUAUGAACAUGAGGCUUUAUGUUUUAAAGACUGAAGAUUUUAAAAUAUUCUAUAGUAACGUAUUUCUUUCAAAAGUAAGAGUAUAGUUUCACUGUGGACCCUCAUUAAUUUUACCUUCCAUCUUAUUACCUUCAGCGGUUUGAAUCUUUUUAUUUAUUCUAUUGGUAUUCAAAAUUUUGCGAAAAGAUAGAUUCAUUAAUGAUUUUUGUCACAUCUAUGUUAAUUCUGUCUUCCAUAUCUUGUUUGUUUAGUUCUCCUAAGUUAACAAACACAUUUGCAUGGUCCUUGUUUAAAAAUAUUAUCUUUGAUAGCCAAAAGACCUGGAUUUCAUGUCUAUAACACUAAUUUUGAGUGAACUUAUUAUUUACAUCAAUAUUAGGUUUUUCUUUUUGUGUUUGUUUUUUAUUUUGACUCCUACUGUUGAAAUAGGAAAGAUGAAGAUAGAAAAACAAUUAGGUCACAUAAUCUCAAAGACAAAUGUGGCCCAGAAUUAUAACAUAACAAUUAAAUGACACAUAUGAGUCAGACCAUUUUCUAAUAAACUACGCUAUAGACAUAAAAAAAUAUGUCUAUCAUAAGAAAUCGAACAAACUUUCUUUUAUCAAAACUAGAUGGAAGGGAUACAAAGAUAGAAUUGGACUUUCUUUAUUACACAUAUUUCAUCAGCUAUGAAUUCAGUACUCUCUGACCAGUAUGCAAAUAAAUAAUUUAUAUGCAACACAUUAAUUUUAUGGAAGUAAUGAGAGAAACUAUAACAGAAAAAAAAAACCAAUAAAAAUAAUCCAGUAUGAUGGUGAGAUGAAUACAAUCAGGCAGUGAGGAAGAACUUCUUAAAAAAAAAAGAAAUGGCUACAUAUUCUAUAUAUGGAAAAUUGGGUUCUUCUGGAAUACACUAAAAAAUUUCAAAUCAAAAUGGAUGAAAGCAAAAAAAGAAUUUAGCAGUAGUUUUUUUUCUUGAAGAGAGCUAGUAGAAAGCACUGAAUGGAAUCUACCUGCCAUGGCAGAUGGUUUCAGAUCCAUCACCAACAAACUCUUCAACAGCUUUGGAGAAAUGUAAAUCAUUCUCAGUUCCAGGACUAUAGACACAGUAUAGACUAUAAAAUGAUAAAAACAUUAUCAGAUAAAUGCAAAUUGCUUCUACUGGACAUUUUCAAUGAACUGUAUCAAUCUCAAGUUAUACUGGAAGCAAAUCUUUUUGCCUAGGCAAAAUAGCAACACCCUAUUAUCAAUAACAAUUUUCUCCUGUAUAUGCAAACUAAAAGACAUAAACAGUCGACUUCUAUGAUAACAUCGGAAUAUCACUCACCACAGCAAAUAAGAGUUCUAUACUAACAGUAUACAGCAACAGUAUGUCUGGAUAUUAAUAGCGUCUUUGACAACGUGCAAAGGCAAAUUCUCUUACAAAUGCUCCUCCAUCUUCGAAUAAAAGGCCAACUUACACACUUCAUUUCCUGUUGGAUGUAUUGAAGACAAGUACAAUUUAUAGGUAGUAAUAAUCUGUAGAAAAACCUACCAAAACUGUAUCAUUCACAAAGAUCUUCCACAGGGAGAGGUGCUAUAUGUCCUCUGCUCUGUAGAGAUGUGUAAAUACGUGCACAGUACAUGUGUAUCAUCUACAACCUACAGAUGAUCUUGUAGUCACUUAAUGUGCGGAUGAUACACUCUAAUAACUAAAAAUACAAAUCGACGAGAAGACAAAACUUUACUUAUUAGAGCAAUUAAAAUAAUUCAAACAAAUCUUCAAGCAAUUAACCUGAAACUAAUACGGAGAAAACCGAAUUAAUAUGGUUUGGAAAUUCUUCUCGGGUGCCACUCAGAACAAAUAUAUAAAUGGAUAACAUUACAAUUUACAGCAAACCAGCAGUUAAAUUUCUGGGAGCUUAUAUAGAUAGCAGACUGAAUUUCAAAACUCAUAUAGAAUAUGAGUAUAUAUGAAUAUACAACAAUACAAUAAACUUGAUAUAAAAUUUUUACGUGGUGAAGCUAUUAUUCAAAUAAUAGGAUAACUACCAUAUUAAGACCAAUCAAGAAGUCAACCCAGUUAAGAAAGUCCCAAAUAAAAUUAUCAUUCGCAAUCAAGGAAUUCUUAAAAGAUCCGCAAAUCAAGCUGCUCAAAAUCAUAACGUUUCCUAAAAAUUAAUAACAUCAAAAUUUAAAAGGCAACAGGAACGAAGAAAUCUAAUUGUAAGAAUUGGUUACUGAGUUGUGAUCCUCAAUAUAUCAAAUUAUUUUUUGUACCAAGUUAUUCUUCUUUUGUAUACAUAUAAGUUAUACAGUAUGUAAGAAUAAAACCAAGGCUAGAUUUCAAGUUAAUCAAUAAAAAAAAAAGAUAAAUUUUUAUUUGCAAAAAACCUAA